AUUGAACGCUGGCGGCAUGCCUUACACAUGCAAGUCGAACGGCAGCACGGGAGCAAUCCUGGUGGCGAGUGGCGAACGGGUGAGUAAUAUAUCGGAACGUGCCCAGUCGUGGGGGAUAACGUAGCGAAAGCUACGCUAAUACCGCAUACGAUCUAUGGAUGAAAGCGGGGGAUCGCAAGACCUCGCGCGAUUGGAGCGGCCGAUAUCAGAUUAGGUAGUUGGUGAGGUAAAGGCUCACCAAGCCGACGAUCUGUAGCUGGUCUGAGAGGACGACAGCCACACUGGGACUGAGACACGGCCCAGACUCCUACGGGAGGCAGCAGGUGGGGUAAUUUUGGACAAGUGGGCG
This 349-nucleotide ribosomal RNA is filed under the name uncultured bacterium. Its description in RNAcentral is "bacterial SSU rRNA". It matches the Rfam family "Bacterial small subunit ribosomal RNA", at positions 30 to 377 of the family's 1533-position model. The record is from RNAcentral.